This 374-nucleotide ribosomal RNA is filed under the name uncultured bacterium. Its description in RNAcentral is "bacterial SSU rRNA". It matches the Rfam family "Bacterial small subunit ribosomal RNA", at positions 521 to 895 of the family's 1533-position model. The record is from RNAcentral.
UAAUACGUAGGCAGCGAGCGUUGUUCGGAAUUACUGGGCGUAAAGAGUGUGUAGGCGGUGCUCUAAGUUCGGUGUGAAAUCUCCUGGCUUAACUGGGAGGGUGCGCCGGAAACUGGAGUGCUCGAACGUGGGAGAGGAAAGCGGAAUUCCUGGUGUAGCGGUGAAAUGCGUAGAUAUCAGGAGGAACACCUGCGGUGUAGACGGCUUUCUGGACCAUUGUUGACGCUGAGACACGAAAGCGUGGGUAGCAAACAGGAUUAGAUACCCUGGUAGUCCACGCCCUAAACGAUGCAUACUUGGUGUCGGCCAUUCAGUUGGUCGGUGCCGGAGCUAACGCGUUAAGUAUGCCGCCUGGGGAGUACGGUCGCAAGGCU